Molecule: long non-coding RNA, 1124 nt
Organism: Panthera uncia (snow leopard)
Lineage: Eukaryota; Metazoa; Chordata; Mammalia; Carnivora; Felidae
Exons: 3
Source: RefSeq, a predicted model, not a curated record
GCUCCCAGCGCCCAAUCCUAAAACGCGACCCCUGGCCCCACCCUCGGCUGAGGAGCCAGACCCAGGCUGUCGGGAGCCGCGCAGGCGCGGAGGAGCAGCAGUCACAAGCUGAGCUGUGCAGUGCGUUUUAAGUUCGCGUCAUCCAUCCGCGGUUCCGAGAACCAGGCUUCUGCCGAGUUUCUCGGGGUUUGGGGGACAACUCUUCCAGGGCUCUUGUGGUCCUCUCAUCCUGACAGGGAAAAGAAGAGAGAAGUUAGUAGAACAGACUACAGCCCUUGUUGCUGCAGGACGUGACAAAGCUACAAGUCAGUCAUCACCUCCUUCUUUACUAUCCUGAUUUCCCCUUGCUGAUCCUGCCGGGCUCGUGAGGGGUCCCCAAGCCCUUCUUUGUGAGGAGCUCAAGCACCCCCAACCUUAACACCUUCACUCCUUCCUAGAAGGUGUAAGUAUGGAGCAAAUGGAGAUAUUUCUAGAAAAAGACAUCCUGUUACUUAGAAGAAAUUGAUUCAAGCACCCCCAACCUUAACACCUUCACUCCUUCCUAGAAGGUCUGUCUGUCUUUCCCACUCAGUGUCCAUGAUGCAUUGCUGCCAGCUGAUUUUUGUGGCCAACACAUCAUACAGUAACUGCCCAGUGAGCCACACUCUGUACAAUCCUCUCUCCCUGAGCACACGUGAAAUCUGUGACUUGCUUCUAAUCAGGAGAAUAUGGCAACAGUGAAGGACUGUCACUCCCUUCAUUAGGUUACUAUCUACAGAUUUAUCUAUAUCUAUCCAUAUCUAUAGCUAUGUAACUCCAACUUUCUUGCACACACACUAGAGAGAUCCUUUUUGCUGACUUUGAAGAAGUGAGCUGCCAUGCAGUGCAAGGCCUUUGGUAAGGCUCAGGUGGCAAGGAGCUGUAGGUGGCCUGUAGGACCUGAGUGUCCUUAGUCAUUUAUCCACAAGGACAUGAAUCAGAUUUAAAUUCUUCCCAAGCGGGGCUUCCAGACGAGAUUGCAGUGUGGCUGACCUCUCAACUGUAGCCUCGUGUGAUCACAAGCAGAAGACCCAGUUAAGCUGUGCCUGAACACCUUUCCCAUGGAAACUGUGAGACAAUAAAUGUGCAUUGUUUGAAGCCACUAA